Molecule: transfer RNA, 86 nt
Filed under: Chloroflexota bacterium
Lineage: Bacteria; Bacillati; Chloroflexota
Also listed under: 1 other name
Description: Chloroflexi bacterium tRNA-Tyr
Rfam family: tRNA
About the family: Transfer RNA (tRNA) molecules are approximately 80 nucleotides in length. Their secondary structure includes four short double-helical elements and three loops (D, anti-codon, and T loops).
Source: RNAcentral
GCAGGGGUGGGAGAGUGGUUAAAUCCAGCAGACUGUAAAUCUGCCGCCGUACGGCUACGUAGGUUCGAAUCCUACCCCCUGCACCA